Molecule: long non-coding RNA, 2662 nt
Filed under: Medicago truncatula (barrel medic)
Lineage: Eukaryota; Viridiplantae; Streptophyta; Magnoliopsida; Fabales; Fabaceae
Description: lncRNA gene15387
Source: RNAcentral
UUUACUCCAAAUGCCAUCAAAGCACUUCAUCUUAGGUUUAAUCAUGUUUGGUACAUGAGCCUUGUAUCUUAGCUCUCAUUUUGUUAAUGUUCUAUAAUUAGUUGUUUUUUUUUUUAGGAUAGUUAUCUUUGUUUUAUUGGUGACUGACUUUUGUCUUAUAAAUUCUUUUGGGAUCUCCUUAUGGUUCAAUAUAAACUCAAGUCUUGCAGCAUAUAUAUAGAAAAUUAUCACUAGAGUGUGUACUCUCAACCUUUUUAUUUAAACAUAUUAUUAUGCACAUCAUUGCAUGCUCAUAUAUAUAAGGCACCAAAUGAUAUACACAUACUUUUUUUUGUUUCAAGAAUACACAUAUACUUUUUGAUAGUUGGUUUAACUAGAUUAUUUUGUUAAGGAAAUUUUAUCUUCCUCAUCACUUUUGAAAACAUUAUCUUCCAUGUUGCUCAUGAAAACAUUAUCUUCCUUGUCAUUUUUAGAAACUGCAUCUUCUCCAUCAAUUUUGGAAACUUGAUCUCCCUCAUCAUUUUUGGAAACUUUAUCUUCUUCAUUACUCUUGGAAACUCCAUCUUCUUCACCACUUUUGGAAGCUUUAUAUUCCCUAUCACUUAAGGAAACGUUAUCUUCUUCGUCAAUUUCCGAAAAUUUAUUUCCCUCAUCACAUAAGUGUUUUAGAAAUUUUCUGCUAUUAGGAAUAGUUUCAGCACACUUCUUCUUGAUCAGAUUUCCACGGAAAGUCAUCCAAUCACAUGCUGGAAUCAUCACUUUAUGCAUCUUGCCUACAAUUAUUGAUGAAAGGUAAAAAUGGAGCAUUAUGUCAUAGAAAUAUAAAAUGCAAAAAUAGUGUUAAUGUCUUACCACUAUUUUUAUCAUGGUGAAUCAUUUCAUUAACAGCUUCUACGGUCUCUAGAGCUUCAAAUGGAAUUUCCUUGGGGCCAUUUGGACGUGGAUCGUCUUCAUUAACCACACCUAUUUGUUAAUUUGUAGUUGCUUGUUGAUGUAAAACAAUUUACAAUAAAAUGUAUAUAUAUCAAAAAAAUAACAAUUUGUAGUUGCUUGUUAAUUUGUUAAUCCUCCGUUUUUUUAAGGGAAAUGAGUGUUGGCUAUAUGUAGAUCGGUUGGGAGGUAAGUAAUGUUUAACCAAGAAUUAUUUUAUGCAAAAAUUAAAUUUAAGUUCUUCUAAAAUAUUCGUCCAUGUUGAAACUCAUUGACUACUUGAGUCCAAUUUAUUAGUUAUGUAUAUAUACAAAUUAAUGAUAGACUUGUCUACAUUUCUAAAUGAGCAUUUAUUUUAUUUUUAUUUAAAUGUUGACUAGAAAAUCACACAUAUAUGCGUGACUUAUUGAUUUAUGAGAGUUCGUUUAGAUCAAUGAGGCAAAAUGGUUUCAGCUAAUAUGAUAUCGUUAACUCCAAAUCACCAAGUUUCGAGAUUGGUUCAUCGCGUAAUGGGUUGCAUAAACCUAGUUUACAAUCAUCUCUUUAGCGUAUCUUGUGCUUUGGGAUCUUUUUUUUUAUCUAUUAAAUAAAAUUUUCUUUUUUACUUCUUAAAAAAAUAUAACAAAAUUGUGAUGUUUCUAUGGUUGAGAAAGACACUGUUUUGUUUUCAAUUAUUUAGAGCGCAAAUGCUGAUAGGAAAACUUGCCAGAUUGAAUUUGGGGGUGCAUUGAUAAUGUGGUAGGCCGGAAAAGGAAGGCAUGAAAGAUAAUAAUUAUGCUAACAAAAUACUUUCUCUUAAAAAUCCUGUUCAGCCUAAUGCAACCCCACAAAACUGGUUUGUGAGGUGAAUAUUGUCCCUCACGACCAGCACUAUUGGGCUUGGUUCGUGGGCAUAAAGACAAUUAUUGUUUUGACAUUCAACAUGUCUUAGAAACACAAGUAAAUGACCAAAAAACCUAGCGUCAGUUAACUGCUGCCGGUUUUCUAGCUAUCAAGCCAGCGGUAGUUAACUACCGCUGAGAGUAUUUUCGUACUUUACUUGUGUUUUUAGGAAGUUUUAAAUGUCAAAAAAGCAAUUGUUGGACAUAAAUGAUGGGUAGUCCGAUAGCGGAAACCUGAUAGCAGGUGACCCAAUGGAUCUUGAACCAGGCUCUGAUACCAUCUUAAUCUUAGAAAUCGUGUUUGAGCUUAACACAAUCCUACAAAACCGGCUUGUGAGGUGUGGAUUGCCCCCACUUAUAAUUAUAUUGUCAGACCAUCAGCUAUCCGAUGUGGCACUCUUAAUGCUUUCUAAGACACUAUUUUUAUGAUAGAAAUUCAUGUGGAUCACUCUAAAUAUAUAGGGUUUACAUCAUUUAGCGAAACCGUUUACAUUUUAGUUAAUAGGAGUGUGUUUGAAAGACUGCUAAAAAUGGUAUUGCAAGCACUUUUCAAAAGAUGAUGAACGGGGACAAUAUGAAACAAUCAAAGAGUUCAUAUUUGACUUUUAAAAGCUCAAAGUUACAUUUUGUUUUGAUAGAUAGCUUUUUUAAAAUUUUGUUGUGUCAUAUACACUAAUUUAUUUUAUCAAAAUUAAACUAUACGCUAGAAUGACUCACCAAGAAUAGGAGGUGGAGGCAACGGCGAUUGAGCUAAAACUUGAUAAGAGAGAACAACAAAAAGACCAACAAACACAUACACCUUUGAGUUAGCCAUGCCACUUCUUGGCAACGACAAUGCAAUAAUGUUUGAU